GAAUUAAGCAUAUCAAUAAGCGGAGGAAAAGAAACCAACAGGGAUUGCCUCAGUAACGGCGAGUGAAGCGGCAAGAGCUCAAAUUCGAAAUCUGGCUCCUCUGGUGUCCGAGUUGUAAUUUGAAGAGGCAUCUUCAGGAGGGGCCCGGCCAAUGUUCCUUGGAACAGGACGUCACGGAGGGUGAGAAUCCCGUUCAUGGCCGGACGCCUACCCCGAUAUGUGGUGCCCUCUACGAGUCGAGUUGUUUGGGAAUGCAGCUCAAAAUGGGUGGUAAAUUUCAUCUAAAGCUAAAUAUUGGCGAGAGACCGAUAGCGCACAAGUAGAGUGAUCGAAAGAUGAAAAGCACUUUGAAAAUAGAGUCAAACAGUACGUGAAAUUGUUGAAAGGGAAGCGCUUGAGACCAGACUUGGCCCUCGACAAACAACCAUCCUUCUGGGUGGUGCACUUGUCGCUGGCUGGGCCAGCAUCGGUCGGGACGGUGGGAUAAAGGCCUGGGGAAUGUGACUCCUCGUCGGAGUGUUAAGAGCCCCUGGUGCCAUGCUGCCUGGCCCGACCGUGGACCGCGCUUCGGCUAGGAUGCUGGCUUAAUGGUCUCCAGCGGCCCGUCUU
Molecule: ribosomal RNA, 609 nt
Filed under: Tuber magentipunctatum
Lineage: Eukaryota; Fungi; Ascomycota; Pezizomycetes; Pezizales; Tuberaceae
Description: eukaryotic LSU rRNA
Rfam family: Eukaryotic large subunit ribosomal RNA
Source: RNAcentral